Molecule: ribosomal RNA, 253 nt
Filed under: uncultured bacterium
Lineage: Bacteria
Description: partial 16S ribosomal RNA
Rfam family: Bacterial small subunit ribosomal RNA
Source: RNAcentral
UACGUAGGGUGCAAGCGUUGUCCGGAAUUAUUGGGCGUAAAGAGCUCGUAGGCGGUCUGCCACGUCGGAUGUGAAAACUCGGGGCUCAACCCCGAGCCUGCAUUCGAUACGGGCAGACUUGAGUUCGGCAGGGGAGACUGGAAUUCCUGGUGUAGCGGUGAAAUGCGCAGAUAUCAGGAGGAACACCGGUGGCGAAGGCGGGUCUCUGGGCCGAUACUGACGCUGAGGAGCGAAAGCGUGGGGAGCGAACAGG